Non-coding RNA from Frigoribacterium sp. RIT-PI-h, 381 nucleotides. It matches the Rfam family "Bacterial RNase P class A". From Rfam's summary of the family: Ribonuclease P (RNase P) is a ubiquitous endoribonuclease, found in archaea, bacteria and eukarya as well as chloroplasts and mitochondria. Its best characterised activity is the generation of mature 5'-ends of tRNAs by cleaving the 5'-leader elements of precursor-tRNAs. Cellular RNase Ps are ribonucleoproteins. NCBI's taxonomy places the organism in Bacteria, Bacillati, Actinomycetota, Actinomycetes, Micrococcales, Microbacteriaceae. The record is from Rfam.
UGGGUCGACAAGACGGUCGCGUCGGCGGGUGCGAACCCGCCGCCGAGGAACGUCCGGGCUCCACAGAGCAGGGCGGUGGGUAACACCCACCCGGGGCAACCCGCGAGAAAGUGCAACAGAGAGCAGACCGCCACGGGUCGCACCCUCGGGUGCGACACGGGGUAAGGGUGAAACGGCGGUGUAAGAGACCACCAGCGGCUCGGGUGACCGGCCGGCUAUGUAAACCUCGCCCGGAGCAAGGUCAAAGAGGGGACGUCGAGGCUGCUCGCCGAGUCCCCGGGUAGACCGCUGGAGAGCUGCGGCAACGUAGUUCCGAGAGAGAUGGCCGUCCAUGGUGCUUCGGCACCGGGACAGAACCCGGCGUACCAGUCGGCCCAUUCG